UUCUCCUUCACUGGAGACCCAAGCUUUCAUCUUCUCUGCAGCGGUCACCCACAGCCAAGGAGAAGCCGCCGCCCCAAACCGCUGAAAAGAAACAACAUCGGAGAGCACCUCCUCGCCUCUGCUCUCUCUCCAACCCGGAGGCCCCCGUUCUCUUCUUCAUCUCCCUGCUGAUUGGCCUCCAUAAAAGUCAGCCACCACCUCCAGUUUAGCUCCACUAUGGCCCGCGAUCCAUCAUCGGCGUAGACCAACCUCCACCAAAAUCGACAGCGCCACAGCCUGAACAGCCCCAGCAGCGACCCCCCCUUCUCGGUCGUUCCUCUUCACUGCUAGCCACCUGAAACGGAGGAGAAGAAGAAGGCGAUAGAUCUGCAGCGAAGCAGAUCCAAAAGAACCCGAGACCAGAUCCGAAAACAAGGAAG
This 419-nucleotide long non-coding RNA is filed under the name Populus tremula. RNAcentral describes it as "long non-coding RNA (PTRE_LNC003258)". Lineage: Eukaryota; Viridiplantae; Streptophyta; Magnoliopsida; Malpighiales; Salicaceae. The record is from RNAcentral.